Molecule: ribosomal RNA, 229 nt
Filed under: uncultured bacterium
Lineage: Bacteria
Description: partial 16S ribosomal RNA
Rfam family: Bacterial small subunit ribosomal RNA
Source: RNAcentral
UGCGCAGGCGGAAAAGUAAGUCAGUGGUGAAAGGUUGCCGCUUAACGGUAAGAUUGCCAUUGAUACUGCUUUUCUUGAGUAUGGUUGAGGUAGACGGAAUGUGUGGUGUAGCGGUGAAAUGCAUAGAUAUCACACAGAACACCGAUUGCGAAGGCAGUCUACUAAGCCAUUACUGACGCUGAGGCACGAAAGCGUGGGUAGCGAACAGGAUUAGAUACCCUGGUAGUCC